UGCGCUGGGUUUCCAACACGAGCAAAAAAGGAGAGAUCGAAAUUGUUAUUUGGAAAUAGAUCCAUCACUUGCAAAGAAAGGAGACUACGAAAUAAGUCCAUAUAUUGACACUUCAUUUUCCCUACGACUGGACAAGUUUUAUGCAUUAUAAGAAAGGUCCCACAUUUAAGCUUCGUAGAGAGUUUUAUGAUCACCAGCAAGAUCAACUUGGGCAAUACGAACAACUCAGCAAAAUGGACGUUAUAAAACUGAAAUACUACUACUGUGGGGGCCCACAUUAUUGUACUACAUAUCCUGAUGAAUGUAAGAGACGAAAGGAUUUUGUAAGAACCAUGUACUGUUCCUUUUAACGAGUACAAUUUCUUUACCUUUACAUAAUAAAGGACUAUAUUGGAA
Homalodisca vitripennis (glassy-winged sharpshooter) is the source of this 396-nucleotide long non-coding RNA. RefSeq lists it as uncharacterized. NCBI's taxonomy places the organism in Eukaryota, Metazoa, Arthropoda, Insecta, Hemiptera, Cicadellidae. The transcript is spliced from 3 exons. The record is from RefSeq and is a predicted model, not a curated record.